Molecule: transfer RNA, 74 nt
Filed under: Peribacillus frigoritolerans
Lineage: Bacteria; Bacillati; Bacillota; Bacilli; Caryophanales; Bacillaceae
Description: tRNA-Thr
Rfam family: tRNA
About the family: Transfer RNA (tRNA) molecules are approximately 80 nucleotides in length. Their secondary structure includes four short double-helical elements and three loops (D, anti-codon, and T loops). Further hydrogen bonds mediate the characteristic L-shaped molecular structure. tRNAs have two regions of fundamental functional importance: the anti-codon, which is responsible for specific mRNA codon recognition, and the 3' end, to which the tRNAs corresponding amino acid is attached (by aminoacyl-tRNA synthetases). tRNAs cope with the degeneracy of the genetic code in two manners: having more than one tRNA (with a specific anti-codon) for a particular amino acid; and 'wobble' base-pairing, i.e. permitting non-standard base-pairing at the 3rd anti-codon position.
Source: RNAcentral
GCUUCCAUAGCUCAGUAGGUAGAGCACUUCCAUGGUAAGGAAGAGGUCAGCGGUUCGAAUCCGCUUGGGCAGCU